AGCUAGCAAAUCCACUUCUCACCCCUGACUUGUUUCAGUGCCGCCACCCUCGAGUUCUCUCUAGCGAUGGCUUCUUCCUUUCUAGAAAUUCUAUCCUUCCAUGCCGCCAGAGCCUUCUCUCUCGCCUUCUCAGCCUCUACUCUCACACUCUCACCAUCGAUCACUACAUUCUCUAACGAGUUCUUGCCACUAGAAAACCACCCCCUUGUACUGUGAAUGUAGCGUUUGCCACUAGCCCUGUGCUCUAGAGAUCCAUCCCUGACUCUCUCUAUCAUCGUUAUCCCAGCCGGAGCUUUCCGAAAGAGAUGGAAUCCAUCGUCUUCUUCCUGGGAUGGAGCAGCCACUGGACGAUCUGGCUCCUCCUCCGCGCGGAUAAUCUCCACUGUCUUGUCCAGGAAUUCGUGGAGGUGAUCUUGGAGCCGAACCUGGUAGAACUUGAGGUGAUGAUCGUCGGCGGCGCCUUCUUCUACCUGGCGAUCGAUUGGCCUAGCAGCGGAUGGAGUGAGAGAGCUAUAAUCCACGACGCAGCUGCGCAGCCGCUGCUCUUCCUCCUCCUCUUCGCUCGAUUCUUGCAUCGAUCGCUUUCUCAUCUCCAAAACCCUAGGAAGAAUGCGCUCACCUCUCUGGAUCCAGCAAUGCGCGGCCGAUCUAGACGAGCUAGCUCCGCUCCUCCAGCGCUCCAAGCUCGCAUCGAUCGAUCGUCUCGCUAGGGUAAAGCAUGGAGGAUGGAAAUAUUUCAAGGGUUUUUGGUGUUUGAAAGAGUCAAGAUGGGCGACAGGCCAGGCACUGGAUUCGCGACCGCGGCAGCGUCAUGGCGCCGGCGACGAGACAAUCCCAGGUUUUCUAGCUUCUCGAGUUCCAUGGAUGACGUUACAUUCUCUAGCAAUUCGGAGCCGCAAGGAAAGACUGCUAGCCUCCAGCUCUAUGGACAGAUCGAGAAGUAUGCUGGUGAAAGAAUUUCGAUGAAUUGCCUCGUUUUCAUGCUUUCUUUCCAGGGUUUUUGUGGACUCUGCGAUGAAAACACAAGGAACUCUUGGACGCUGGCAGGAAAUCCAAGUAAGCUCUAUCUGUUUUUUUUCUUUCGCGGAGACAGCACUGGUGAUUUUGUUUUCCUUCUCCAGGGAGCAUGGAUUCUAAGACCGAGCAAAGGAGAUCAGUUGCCCGUUUUGUGGGUGGUGCUCCACGGAUCACGUAUCGCUUGUUUCUGGAACGCCUUAUAGAGCCCUUAAGGACUAGCAACAGUUUCGGUGGGCAGAGAGGUGAGUUUUUCAUAUUGUAUAGAAUGAUUAACUCUUUUUCUUUUUCUUUCCAUGCAGAGGAUUCUUGAUCAUAACAAUGCUAUAAUGCCAUUUAUUUGUUAUGAUAGCACUUCAAAAGACAUUCUAUAUUGACCAUUUCACCUUUAAUAAGUGUCCUACUCAGCCACUUUAACCAUAUCAUAUCAUUUGUUUAAAUUAUUAUUUUGAAUUAAGGACAUUGUUAUUCAACCUAGCAAAGAGCUUAUCCUUAGCUAGCCAUAAGAUCACUUUGGGAUUUUAUAUUAAUACUUUGAUAUAGUUAGAAAUAGAUACUGUGUUUGCUUGACCCUUGGAGUUGUUGAUGCAUCCUCACACUCCACACUCCACAAUGCAUCUAAGUUAUCCCUUUCAGCCAAGGGUUUGUAGCAAUUAAGAUUAUGUAUCCCCAUCCUAUUCACUAUAUCUUCAGUGUCAUUUCCACUAAAGUAUUUUAGUUAAAUGUGUUAAAAUUUUAUAUUAAAUACACUAAUUAUGAACUUGAUGGUGUGUCCAAGCUAACAUCAUUAUUGAUAACCAUUGUUAAAUGAGUGUUCUUAUAUUUUAAACCAUUAUUAUACCCUAAUGCCCUUCAAACACUAAAGAGUUGAAAUUUUAACUUAACCUCUAUAUAUACAUCUACAGAUGGUAUUAUAUAGGAUGUUUGGCAUAACUUUUCAUGUUGGUACACCAAUUUUAUAUCCAUGCUAAUUAAUUUUUCUUUCUUAUAUAGGCUAUAGUUUAGAAAUUUUGUUCCUCCUAACUUCCAAGUUAUCUCACUGGACAAAUUAGAUGAUCAACUUAUGAUUAUGUAUAAACUCCAUGUUUGGUUUUACAAGUUUUCUUUUUUGAAGUCAACUCUUCAAUUAUGAACCUCAUUCUUUUGACUUGCUAAUCCCACUUAAUAAGUCAUUAAGUCAAUAUAAUAUAAUUUACUCCUAAGUAUCUAUACAUGUGAUUAUGGGAUUAUCACCUUAGAUCCUUGGAACCUUAAAGAAUAAAUAGAGAUAAAAUAACCACUAAAGGCUCUCUUAUGAAGCAAUUACCCUUUUUCCAAUUGGCUAAAGGGAAAGAAAUAGGGUGUGUUAUAUAUAGUAUUAGACCAAAUGGCAUAGGUUCGAAUUAUAUUGAUUAGUGGCUACUUAAAAUAUAAUAUACCUUUAAGCAAAGUAUAUUUUUACCACUAAAAUUGAAAUCGUGGCAUUCAUAAAUAUGUCUUUUGUCUUGGACGUAAAUAUCCACAAUAGGUGUAAGCAACCAAAAGGAAUGACUCGAGAGACAAUCUAUAGGGUUCAAAUGUAAAGGGAAAGGGCCUAUGAAUAAGAGUGCACCUUCUUUUCCAAUCGGUUAAAGGUCUUGGGAUACUUAGGGUUAAACAUCCUUGGGUUUGAAUAGUAUUGGGUUGGGUGACUUCUCGGGAAGUCUAAACUCAGGAGCUUACAGAGUGGUUUUAUGUCCGACUCUGUUGGUUGGAUAAGGGAAUCACACCACAUGUUGAUUGACAUCUGGCUGGUUCAAUUUGCUUCUGCUGGGCUCGACUCGAGGGGUAGGGUAUCAAGAGAGCAGGGCUCUCGGGAGAGCUGCGGCUCUCAGCUUCCAUUCACGAGGGCGUGAACUUGCAGGGAAGCGUGGUAGAUUGUAAGCAACAAAAAAGAACGACUUAAGAGACGAUCUAUAGGGUUUAAAUAUAAAGGGAAAAGGCCCAUAAAUAAAAAUGCACCCCAUUUUCAAAUCGGUUAAAGGUUUUGGGAUAUUUCGGGUUAAAUGUUCUUGGGUUUGAAUAAAACUGGGCUAGAUGACUUCUCGGGAAGUUUAAACUUAAGAGCUUACAAUGGGAUUAUAGUAUAAGUAGUCAUCGGAUUGGUUUCAAUCCAGACCACUCGCUCCUGUAUAUAAACUAGGGUUGUUGGGCUAAUUGAUAUGCACAUUUUCUGUAUUCCCUUUCCAUAUUCUAAACACUCACAACUCUAAAUUGUAUUUAGAUUUUUGUAAGGAAUUAAUCUGCUAGUAACCUUGUCAAAACUUGUUCAAUUAUGUCCACAAAUGGUUUGUUAAAUUGCCAUGUACUUAUAGAGUUACUUAUAGAAGGCAUAUUGCAAAAAACAGAUGUAUAUUUUAAAGGUAUUUAUUCUUUGUAGUCAUUCACCAUUUCCAAGUUUAAUUAGUCACUAUCCUCAGUGGCAUUCCAUGUUGCUAACUGCACAGUACAAGGCACUCUAGCCUGUCUCUGGCUCUGUCCUUGAGGCUCCUGUCUUGCUCGGUAUCGUUUUCCUCGUGGUCCAAAGCAUCCCAAACAAACAUAAUCCUAUCACCAAACUGGUUGCACCAGUGCUGGAGCGAAGGAACAGUCUUGUUUUCAUUGAUCACUCUUCCCUUUUGCAACUGUGGAAUUCUGGAAUGCCAGAAGCAGCCCAGCCCAGAGUGUCCCAAAAAAGUCGCAGAUACAAUCCCUGACAUUCAUGAACACGACAAGAGCCAUUAGCUACGAAGAUUGCACUUAGAAACCCUAAAGUGGAAAAGGUUAAUUUAAAUUAAUUAUUUUCAGGGUUUAGUAGAGCAGUGACUGAGUUACUCAUCCGCUUCUCGCUGCUCUAGAAAGCAAAUCUUCCAGAUCUGACCUUGUACAAAAAAUAAAAGCUAGCUACACAACGCUUGAUGUUACCUACAGUUCUAUCCUUCUGCCAUCUGGACACAAGGUCUUCCUCCACAAUCUGAGGGACGUACGAGAGAGCUCACAAAAAAAGCGUCACACUCGUAGCCUUUGCUCGCAAGCUGGGAAUGUAACACUUAAGAGAUGAGCAGGGAAAAACUUUCUGAGAUUCCAUAACUAGAUCUUCUACAAAUGGUUGACACCAGUUUCGUUCAGCCUUCCUGCGUUCAGAUCAGUCUCGUCUAAAGUAUGCUAGAAAUGUUAGAUGGUAGAAUAUGCUAUAUGGUUCAUUACUUUUACCCACUCUAAAACUUACAGAUACACUUUCUAGCUAAAUUCACCAAAAUCAGUCGCAAAUUACCACAACACAUCAAGUUAUUUUGGUGUCCCAAAACGUAUUUCUGGAUACUACAGAUAGCCAUGACAAAACCUCAAAGACAACCAUACUUUCAAGGAUAGAAGCACAUAAAUCAUGAGCAAACUUUUCAACAUCUAUGAGAUGCCUUUUUUGUCCAUAGACCUUGCACAAUUUUCACAACCAUUCAAAAUCUGAAGAUUAGUAUAUUUCCUAUAGUUGUUUUGUCAACCAUGCAGGGUCUAAAUCAGAAUUAAUAUACACACUUACAUACAUAUUCGUUACUCAGCACGGCUUUGUAUCGACAAUAGCAUCCACGCUGCGAUUUCUUCCACCAAGUUUUCGAUAUCUUCCAGAAGCUGCUGGCGAAGCCGCUGAGACGCUGGAUCAGAUCCAAAAGUCUGCCCAACCUCUUUGGCCACCCCUUCGAAAAGAGUGCCCGCCGCUAGCGAUGCUAGCAAAUCGCUUCCUCGCGUCACAGCGUCAGCCAUCACGCCAGGAACCUCGGGAAAUACCUGUUAAACUAUCAGAAACUUUGCAAGAACUGGAGUGUUUUCUUGGAGAGAAGUAUCACCUGCUGGAGAGGCCUGGCGUGAUCUCCAGAUAACGUCCUCACUGACAAGUCGAGGCUCAUGCUCACAGCAGAGCUCGAGCUCAAGAUCUUGGCCAGCUCCGGAGUUUCGUCGAUCACAUCGUCCUUGAAACGCACCAGUAGAUUACGUCUGAUGCCAUAGUAGGAUCUUAUCUGGACAAUUGACACAAACAUUAGCUCAAGCGUUUCAGCAAAAGCACGAGAAACACACACACACACACACACAAAAUAAAAAAAUAGUUUUGUACCAAUCUAGUUGCAUCUUCUACGGUUGGAGUGAAGUCUUCUUUACCGUUUGCCAGCUCCAUGUACAAGGAGGGAAGCUGCUCGACAAGAGGAAGGAUCUGCUUCACGAGUGGCGGACUGAGAGUUUCGAGUUGCCUCUUUGCCAUUUCUGCCUAUGAGAAGCAAAUGCUUAAAAACACACAGCGAUUGCAUGAAAUGUAGAACGAUUACCCCGAAGCGAACGGUGGGAGAGUUGCUGAUUUGUGUGAGGAGGGGCCCGAGGUUUUGAGCCAUUGGAACUGCAACCGGUGAGAACAAAGGAAUUGCUUGCUUGGCCCCCUGAACAGUGCUGGGAUGUUAAUUAUGCUUUUGAACGAGAAGAAUACACACCUUGUUGUUGAAAGACAUCAGAACGUUGCCUGCCCGUUCCACUGCAUAACGGGCUCCUGUGACAUAGACCAGAGUGAACACAGAACCUUCAAGAGGGUCGGGUCGAUGGAAUACAACCAAUAAGAAGAUGUACCAGUGCUCCUAGAGAAUGCCCGACACCAAAGCUAGGCAGUGAUUCCAACUGCUAACACGAACAAGCAGCUUGUAAGAUGCGUUACAGAAAAAAGAACCAAACUUACAGAUUGCUCUUUCAAGGCUCUUAUGCAGCGAUCAAACUUAAACUGCGUCUCGUCAGCGAUCUUCAAGUGGUCGAAGCCACUCGCGAAUGGCGUUGCUAUGAUCAAGAAUCCUCUGCAUGGAAAAGAAAAAGAUGGAGAGUUAAAAUCAAUACGAAACUCUCACCUCUCUGCAAGGCGUUCCAGAAACAAGCGAUACGUGAUCUGUGGAGCAGCUCCCACAAAAACACCACCCACAAAAUGGACAACUCCAACAGGAUCUCCUUUGCUCGGUCUUAGAAUCCAUGCUCCCUGGAGAAGAAAAACAAAAUCACCAGUGCUCUCUCCGCGAAAGAAAAAAAAAAAAGUAGAGCUUACUUGGAUUUCUUGCCAGCGUCCAAGAGUUCCUUGUGCUUUCAUCGCAGAGUCCACAAAAACCCUAGAAAGAAAGAACAAGCAUGAAAACGAGGCAAUUCAUCGAAAUUCUUUCACCAGCAUACUUCUCGAUCUGUCCAUAGAGCUGGAGGCUAUCAUUCUUUCCUUGCGGCUCCGAAUUGCUAGAGAAUGUAACCACGAGACGUCUUCCAGAUCUUCCCCUGGAACUCGAGAAGCUAGAAAACCUGGGAUUGUCUCGUCGCCGGCGCCAUGACGCUGCGACGGUCGCGAAUCCAGUGCCUCCCCUGGCAGAAGAAGCCGCGCAAUGAUCUCCUCCAGCUGGAAGGGUCGACAGUAGCGCCUCGCCCAUCCUGACUCUUUCAAACACCAAAAACCCUCGAAAUAACCAUGCUUUACCCUAGCGAGACGAUCGGUCGAUCGAUCGAUGCGAUCUUGGAGCGCUGGAGGAGCGGAGCUAGCUCGUCUAGAUCGUCCGCGCAUUGCUGGAUCCAGAGAGGUGAGCGCAUUCUUCCUAGGGUUUUGGAGAUGAGAAAGCGAUCGAUGCAAGAAUCGAGCGAAGUGGAGGAGGAAGAGAAGCGGCUGCGCAGCUGCGUCGUGGACUAUAGCUCGCUCACUCCAUCCGCUGCUAGGCCUAGAAUCGAACGCCAGGUAGAAGAAGGCGCCGCCGACGAUCACACCUCAGGUUCGCCUCCAAGAUCAGCUCCACGAAUUCCUGGACAAGACAGUGGAGAUUAUCCGCGCGGAGGAGGAGCCAGAUGGCUGCUCCAUCCCGGGAUGGAUUCCAUCUCUUUGGGAAAGCUAACGAUGAUAGAGACAGUCAGGGAUGGGUCUCUAGAGCACAGGGCUAGCAGCAAGCGCUACAUUCACAGUACAAGGGGGUGGUUUUCUAGUGGCAUGGCAAGAACUCGUUAGAGAAUAUAGUGAUCGAUGCUGAGAGUGUGAGAGUAGAGGCUAAGAAGAAGGCUCUGGCGACAUGGAAGGAUAGAAUUUCUAGAAAGGAAUCGCUAGAGAGAACUCGAGGGUGGUGGCGGCACUGAAACAAGUCAGGGGUGAGAAGUGGAUUUGCUAGCUCAAUUCCACGAAAUCGUGCGUCUUCUCUCUUGUUUUUUUUCGUUUCUUCUUCAUCAGAAGAGAAGAUCAAGGGGCCUUCUCAAAGGAGCAGCGAUAAUGUCAGUUAUUGUUUUUCGCUUUUCUUGACAACGCUGGGAGAAACUAAGCGUUGCUAGUUUAAUUCUUUCGUAUUCCUUGUGCUAAACAGGUUCACAAUGCGAACUUACAGGUUCUCGAUACAAACUUUCAGAUUUUUUAUACAUUAGCUUUGAGAACCCAGACCGAAGUCAGUCAACCACUCUUUGAGAUACAAAGACACGUUAUUGCCACCAAUCACUCCACAUAAUGGCUGUAUCGCCCCCUCAACUUUUUGCUGUUUCUGUGGGGCACCACUAGGGCGUUGACCGGUAAAAUAGUUGAAACCAAACUGUUCUAGAUCCUGCUCCGUAUGAGGCAAAACUGCCAGUCGCAGCAGUCCAUUCUCUGAAGCAAGAUUUAUAAGCCUGUUUAAACCUUCAUCUUCGUUUUUCC
This 7678-nucleotide long non-coding RNA is filed under the name Selaginella moellendorffii. RNAcentral describes it as "long non-coding RNA (SMOE_LNC001032)". The record is from RNAcentral. Lineage: Eukaryota; Viridiplantae; Streptophyta; Lycopodiopsida; Selaginellales; Selaginellaceae.